Molecule: ribosomal RNA, 271 nt
Filed under: uncultured prokaryote
Description: partial 16S ribosomal RNA
Rfam family: Bacterial small subunit ribosomal RNA
Source: RNAcentral
UACGGAGGAUCCGAGCGUUAUCCGGAUUUAUUGGGUUUAAAGGGUGCGCAGGCGGGAGAUUAAGUCGGCGGUGAAAUUUUGCAGCUCAACUGUAAAAGUGCCUUCGAAACUGGUUUCCUUGAGUGUAGAUGAAGUAGGCGGAAUUUGUGGUGUAGCGGUGAAAUGCAUAGAUAUCACGAGGAACUCCGAUUGCGCAGGCAGCUUACUAAACUACUACUGACGCUCAGGCACGAAGGCGUGGGGAUCAAACAGGAUUAGAUACCCCGGUAGU